Molecule: transfer RNA, 83 nt
Filed under: Haemonchus placei
Lineage: Eukaryota; Metazoa; Nematoda; Chromadorea; Rhabditida; Trichostrongylidae
Rfam family: tRNA
About the family: Transfer RNA (tRNA) molecules are approximately 80 nucleotides in length. Their secondary structure includes four short double-helical elements and three loops (D, anti-codon, and T loops).
Source: Rfam by way of RNAcentral
GCACCGAUGUCCGAGUGGUUAAGGAGAUUGACUAGAAAUCAAUUGGGCUCUGCCCGCGUAGGUUCGAAUCCUGGCUCGGUGCG